This is a long non-coding RNA of Conger conger (European conger), 957 nucleotides long. RefSeq lists it as uncharacterized. The record is from RefSeq and is a predicted model, not a curated record. The transcript has 10 exons. NCBI's taxonomy places the organism in Eukaryota, Metazoa, Chordata, Actinopteri, Anguilliformes, Congridae.
CUUGCUAAAUAAAACGUUCUCUGGAGACGUAAUUGUAUGUUGUAUUUCAGUUACGCGAAAUUGUCUUGCUCUAACGUUAGAUCAGGAACGCCGCAGUACGACCAUCUGUGUAGGCCGUAAGUUAGUUCGUUCGCAUGACUUUUGGGGCUGAAGAGCACUAACUUGCGUCGUUUUGAGUGAUGAAAAAUGUGUUGGUAGGGACAUCUGAGUAAUAAUGAUGAAACGCCAACCUUUCUGACAUCCCACGGCGCAAGUAGCGAUGUUAAAAUGGCGCCCGGUUAGCGACGCUGGGUGACCAGCCAGGCGUGCUACGUCACGUUUCUUGGGCCCCAAAUUGCAGUUUAUGGUGCCAGGUGGGGAAAAGUGCACUCUUGGAAACGUUAUGGAGCAUGAUUUUCUGCGCGACCCCCUCGGCCACGUGACUUGCAAUGGACGCUGGCCCGGCUGUUCGGGUUCGGCUGGCGUCUGCUGCACCUGUCUGAAUUGCCGGCGUUUUCGGCUGCGUGUCUGAUGCUGCUGUUGAAGAUGUCAAAGGUCCUCCCUCCCCCAGUGUUUGCAGCAGACAAUCGGAGUGCAGACUGCGCUGUUGGGAGGACUGCAGCUGCCCGCUGAUGUCAAUCAAAGGUUUCGGCUGGAAGGUGUGCUCAUGGAUGAAGUGGGCCUUGGUGUGGUGCUGACCAGCUUGGCCUUAUCUGUACGCCAAUCAGGGCCCUGGGAGGCAUGAGUGCAGAACGGUUUCGGCUGGGAGGCGUGCUCAUGGGUGAUGUGGGCCCGGUGCGACUUGGUGUGGCGCUGACCCGCUUGGCCUGGUCCGUUCGCCAAUCGGGGCCCUGGGAGGCAUGAGCACAGCACGGUCUGCAAUUACAGGUGGGACUGGCUGGUGUGAGCAGCAAGUCUUUGUGCCUUGUCCAUCCUGUACCGUCCAUUCCUCAAUGUGAAUAAAAAUCAUUUUAAACA